This is a long non-coding RNA of Drosophila sulfurigaster albostrigata, 835 nucleotides long. RefSeq lists it as uncharacterized. Lineage: Eukaryota; Metazoa; Arthropoda; Insecta; Diptera; Drosophilidae. The record is from RefSeq and is a predicted model, not a curated record. The transcript is spliced from 3 exons.
CUGCUUGACAAUCGUUACAAAACUAACCAAAAUUAUAAACCGUAAAGAAAUAUUAAUCCACAAAUAUAAACUCGAAUUUAAAGUUUAUCUGCAGCAGCACAAAAGAUAAAAUCAAUUUCUUAUCGAAAUUGCAAUCAUUUUAAAAGCGAUUAUCCCCCGCCAAGCUCACAUGUGCUGUGUGUUAUGUUAUGUUGUGUCUCGACGGUGCUCAAAAUAAACAAUUCAGAAGCCAUAAAAGGCGACAGAUUUACAGUCGUAAGUUGAUUCAGACUGAACUUUUUCGCAGCUGCCGCAGCAGCAUCAGCAACAGAAUUUGACGCCAACGCAUUUAUCAGCACAAUAUUGUAAUCGUAUAGAAUCGUAUAUGUAUUCAGUGUAUAUACUUUGUCUACUCGUGUUUGCAUUGCAUUUUCUUUUUUGUAAAUCACAUCUGCUCGGGGGAUACAUUUUUGGCCAGCGCAUCCCUGCGGACCAAGUUCAAGCAUGUGGCACAAAAUCCAGGGAGCGAGGCGAGAUAUUUGUGGUCAGCAGGUGGUCAGUGGUUAGCCGGAAGUGAGUCGCUUUUAUUGCCUGUCAUUCAAACUUGGCCCAAGAUAACGCAAUUAGACGCUGGAGUGCUGUUUGCACUGCUGACAGACAGACAGAGAGAGGAGAGAGAGAUUGAAAGGGAAGUGAAGCUCUGCUUAGCUCAGCUUUGUGGCACGUGGAUGAGGUGAGCGAACUUUUGCAAUGUGUGACAUUCAGCAAAAAGUUCAAGGAGCUCUGCAUUUGUUUUGAAGAGGACACACUCCAAAAACUAUGCGGUGACUCGGCACUUUAUCCCCUUCUCCUUCUC